AGCCAUGAGCAGCGGGGCCGGGGGACCCUGGCCUUGUCCUCCUCUACCAGGCGGGGCCGCUCCCUCAGAACCCCGCGGCAGGGAACAUCGCUCGGGACCCGACUGGAGAAUUGCAACUUUUCCACCUUAAAGUUUAAAGAUAAGAAAUAACCCUGUUACAGAAGAUUCAAGAAAGAUGACUGCAAUGGUUUGGACAUCUGUCAAGAAUGGACCUAGGAAAGGUUCCAUACAUGGCAAUACACGCCAGCGUGGAAGGAACUAGCAGUAGAAGACCAAGGAUGCAUUGAAUAGACACUGUAAAGAAUGACAGAGAACAAUUUUUUUUUAAAGAUGAACAAAGCCAUGAAGCUAGGACAAAACAGAAAGUGGCGGAAAGAUUUCAUUCAGCCCCAUCAUCACUGUUGAGCUGACAGACAGGAAUCAGAAAAGAAGAUAGUAUCACACCGUAUACAUUGUCACAUUGUCCAUUUACUAUUUAGCUAGUAGGUCUAGCUCCACCUAAUGUUGCAUGCAAGAGUAUCACUUUCUUAGUAUGAUAUAAUAAAUGCAUUGCAAAUGUUUAAGAUAAAUAGAUGCUGUAUAAAUUUAUCCAUAGUAACCCUCUGAAUUAGGAACUUGUUCUAAUUCUCAGGCAUAAAGCUAAGGCAAAAUUGAGUUAAGAUUAAAAGGACAUGUCAGUAAUUUAGGGGAAAAUGAGAUAUUUAUAAAAAUAUGAACUAUUUAGAAGCUCAACAUUUAUUUGAGAUAUUAUCAGUAACUUAAGGGUAACUGAUACAGGGUGGCUUGCCCCUUAAGGGACCGAGGCUGGGCCCAACCAACCCCAAUUACUGAAGGGACUGCUCCACCCCACUUGUGUCAUUAACAGGGGCCUGAUGGAGGGCAGCUGAUUCCCCUAUAAAGGGCAACAUGAAGCUGCAGAGGGGGGAAUCCAGGAGGCUGUGGCAAUGAUAAGGGUAAGGCUCUUGCAGGAAAGCUCCUGAGAUGAGGAGAGUUGCCCUAGCUAGAAGGACUUAGGAAUAGCCUGCUAAGGUAGGAGGAAGUCAGAGCCAGGACUCCAGCCAGGUAAAGUCUAGGAGUGACUAUUGACUUUAGGACCCAGCUCUAGGAAGUAGAGCUACCAGAGCCCUGCAUGGGACUAUUUUUAAUCCUGUUUUUAUGGUAAUGGGUCCUGUGGGAUCCUGGACCUGCUGCAGGGCUCUUCUGGGGACUCCCUAUUUAAGGGGUGGGAGAUACUCAAGGGGGCUUGGGCCUGGAGGCUCAAACAGUUGCUUGGAGAGAGACUUCAGAUUAGGACUGGGGCCUGUGAGGAAGGGCUGGAGACUUCCUAUGUAAGGGAGAGAGAAGCAGCCAACUGGGGUUGGAGGAUGGAGAGCCAGUGUGUAAGGAUUAAAUAAAUUGGAUCCUAGGUGGGGAAUGUUUUAAUUACUUUGGAGAGAGUGAGUCAUUAAGGGGCCCUGAAGAGGGGAAUAGAGAAGGGUGUUGCAAAGAGAUCUCUGGCCAUGGUGGGGCGGAGACAGAAGUGCUCAGGCUGCAAGAGGCCAACCCUAUUAGUUGUAUUGUUAUGUUACUGUAUCUCCAAAACAAGUAUGGAAGGUAGGUCGAAAGCUAGGCAUGGAAAUGCAGAGUUAAAGGCACCUAAACUAUGCCCUCUUAUGACCCCAUGAACUAAUUGUGAUUAUGACAUUUUACUGGCCUUGUGGCUCAAGACAAGGCUAAGCUGCUUUCUGGAGAGAGAUUGGCUUCCCUCCUCUCUUGCCCUGUGAAAUUCAAUGGGUCUGCUUGUGUGGGUAAGGUGGGCAAGAUUUAUUUUUAGCCCUAUCCAGCCAAAAACAUUUUUGGGGAGGCUUAUUCCACUAGCCUCCUGGAAAGUUUUAUAUAUAAUGUGUGCUGUAAGUGCUCUGAUAUACAGAUCACCAUGUGUCCCACAUCUAAUGCUGUGUUCCUUACUAUGCAAACAAUUUAAAUAAAGAGUUUAAACACACACACUCUAGAACAUCUAUUAAAGACUUGAUUCUUGUAGCACUAGAUAUCUAUAUAUGAAGUAGUGUUGCAAAAUUAGAUCAGUUUGCUGGGUGCUAUGUUAGGCAAAGCAAAAUUGCAUUUUAAUAUACUUAUUUCACUAAUGAAGAUGACAAUUCUAUGUGAUCCUGAUGUACACCUUAAUUUUGUCUUAAAUACUUUUUCACUCUGUGCUUUCCUGGCUGUACCUGAUCCCUGCUGCAGCAGUGGCCUCUAGUGGCCAAGGGGAAAGUUUGUUUCUCAUAUAGCCAGCACUAUAUGAGCAUCAUAAAGACCUUUCAGCAUUUGAAACUGUGUUUGAGUGACACAAGCCAUCAAAAAUUGUAUAAU
Molecule: non-coding RNA, 2349 nt
Organism: Chrysemys picta bellii (western painted turtle)
Lineage: Eukaryota; Metazoa; Chordata; Testudines; Emydidae
Source: RefSeq, a predicted model, not a curated record